Long non-coding RNA from Lingula anatina, 411 nucleotides. RefSeq lists it as uncharacterized. NCBI's taxonomy places the organism in Eukaryota, Metazoa, Brachiopoda, Lingulata, Lingulida, Lingulidae. The record is from RefSeq and is a predicted model, not a curated record.
UGAAAGUAUUUGCGCUAUAAAAGGAAUAAACCUUGAGACCCAGUCAUAUUGCUGCUCGACUUGGCGUGGGACAGACAAGAAGAAAAACAAUAAUAUGAAGGCUGUGGCUGUCUUCUUACUUGUAAUCGUGGCUGAAGUAUACUGUAGAGUCCCAUUGAAACCAUGGGUGCCUCCUGAUUGCCCCGGAGACUUGAAGUGGAGCAAUUGUUAUUCCGCCUGUCCGCACAUCUGUGGGGAGCCCGAAGGAUUUCCAAGGAGAUGCACUAUGCAGUGUGUCAUCGGAUGUGGCUGUCCUUACGGUCAAUAUCGGGUCUCGCGAGACAGCAACCGGUGUGUUCCCAACAAAGAGGCCUGUCCUAAAUCCAAAUAGAAGCCUAUACUGGGCACUGUCCAUCGCAAUGGCUUUUUUUU